UGAGGGGCUAAAUUAAUAAAAUUAUAAAUAAUUAAAGUAGUUUUAAUGUUAAAAUUGGGGGGUUUUAGUAUUAAUAAAGAAAUAAUUAAAAAAUUUAUAGUUAAUUAGUAUUGUAAAAGAAAUUUUAAAUAUUUUGAAAAUAAAAUUUGUUGGAAAGUAAAUUUAAUUUAUUGUAUCUUGUGUAUCAGAGUUUAUUAAAUAUAUAUUUUAGUAUUAAUUAUUUCUCGAAUUUAAAAGAGAUAAUUAAUUAUAAAAGUUAUUGUUGCAUAAAUAUUUUUAAUAAUUAAUUAGAAAUGAGAUGUUAAUCGUUUUUAAAGAUAUCUAGUUUUUUUAGAAAAAAAUUUAAUUUUAAAUUAAUUUUAUUAAUUAAUUAAUUAAUUAAUUAAUUAAAAAUAUAAUUUUAUAUUUUAAGGGAUAAGCUUUAAAUUAAAUUUUUAUAAUUAUAUUGUAUUUAAUUUGAAAUUUUUAAAAUUUAUAUUAUUUAAAAAUUUUAAUUUGUUAUAAAUAAUUUCACUAUUAAAUAAAAUUUUAUAAUAAUUUAAUUUUUUAUUAAAAAAUAAUUUUAAAUAAGGUAAAUUUAGUUAUAAUGAUAAAAUUAGUAUUAAAUUACAUAAAAAUAUUUAAUUUUAUAAAGUUAAAUAAAAGGAAUUCGGCAAAUUAUUAAUUUAUAUUCACUUGUUUAUCAAAAACAUGUCUUUUUGAGAAUAAUUUAAAGUCUAAUCUGCCCACUGAUAAUAUAUUAAAGGGCUGCAGUAUUUUGACUGUACAAAGGUAGCAUAAUCAAUAGUCUCUUAAUUGGUGACUUGUAUGAAAGAUUGGAUGAGAUAUAAACUGUCUCUAAUUUAUAUAAAGAAUUUAAUUUUUUGAUUAAAAAGUCAAAAUAAUUUUAAAAGACGAGAAGACCCUAUAGAGUUUUAUAUUUAAAUUAAUUGAGAUUAUUUUUUAGAAUAAUAAUUAAAAUUAAUUAAAAUAUUUUGUUGGGGUGAUAAAAAAAUAUGAAUAACUUUUUUUAAAAAUAUUUUCAUUGAUAAGUGAAUAAUUGAUCCAUAAUUUUUGAUUAAAAGAAAAAAUUACCUUAGGGAUAACAGCGUAAUUUUUUUUUUUAGUUCAAAUAAGAAAAAGAGUUUGCGACCUCGAUGUUGGAUUAAGAUAAAAUUUAUAUGCAAAAGUAUAAAAUUUUGAUCUGUUCGAUCAUUAAAAUCUUACAUGAUCUGAGUUCAAACCGGUGUGAGCCAGGUUGGUUUCUAUCUUUAAAGAAAUAAGAUAUUUUAGUACGAAAGGAAUAAAUAUCUAAAUUAUAUUUAAAAUUUUUGAAUUUUAUUAAAUUUUUUGUAGAUAAAAAACU
RNAcentral lists this ribosomal RNA (1345 nucleotides) under Sitochroa verticalis. RNAcentral's name for it is "16S ribosomal RNA". The record is from RNAcentral. Lineage: Eukaryota; Metazoa; Arthropoda; Insecta; Lepidoptera; Crambidae.